Molecule: ribosomal RNA, 253 nt
Filed under: uncultured bacterium
Lineage: Bacteria
Description: partial 16S ribosomal RNA
Rfam family: Bacterial small subunit ribosomal RNA
Source: RNAcentral
AACGUAGGAGACAAACGUUAUCCGGAAUUAUUGGGCGUAAAGGGCGCGUAGGCGGCUUGGCAAGUGGAAGGUGAAAUCCCUCGGCUUAACCGAGGAACUGCCCUCCAAACUGCUUCGCUUGAGACCGGGAGAGGUGAGUGGAAUUCCCAGUGUAGCGGUGAAAUGCGUAGAUAUUGGGAGGAACACCAGUGGCGAAGGCGGCUCACUGGACCGGUACUGACGCUGAUGCGCGAAAGCGUGGGGAGCAAACGGG